UACGUAGGGGGCUAGCGUUAUCCGGAAUUACUGGGCGUAAAGGGUGCGUAGGUGGUUUCUUAAGUCAGUGGUGAAAAGCUGCCGCUCAACGGUAGUCUUGCCAAUGAUACUGUUUUUCUUGAGUAUGGUUAAGGUAGGUGGAAUGUGCAGUGUAGCGGUGAAAUGCAUAGAGAUUGCACAGAAGGCCGAUUGCGAAGGCAGCUUACUGAACCAUAACUGACGCUCAUACACGAAAGCGUGGGGAUCAAACAGGAUUAGAUA
Molecule: ribosomal RNA, 261 nt
Filed under: uncultured prokaryote
Description: partial 16S ribosomal RNA
Rfam family: Bacterial small subunit ribosomal RNA
Source: RNAcentral